RNAcentral lists this transfer RNA (85 nucleotides) under Felis catus (domestic cat). It matches the Rfam family "tRNA". From Rfam's summary of the family: Transfer RNA (tRNA) molecules are approximately 80 nucleotides in length. RNAcentral also lists the same sequence under 1 other name. Lineage: Eukaryota; Metazoa; Chordata; Mammalia; Carnivora; Felidae. The record is from Rfam by way of RNAcentral.
GCCUGGGUGGCUCAGUCGGUUAAGUGUCUGACUUUGGCUCAGGUCAUGAUCUCCUGGUUCGUGGGUUUGAGCCCCACAUCAGGCU